GGAAAACAAGAGGAAAUCCAACAGAAAGGACAGGCUGAGAAAAAAGAAUUACAACAUAAAAUAGAUGAAAUGGAAGAAAAAGAACAGGAGCUCCAGGCAAAAAUAGAAGCUUUGCAAGCUGAUAAUGAUUUCACCAAUGAAAGGCUAACAGCUUUACAAGGGAUACAAGUUGAUGACUUCUUACCUAAAAUAAAUGGGAGCACAGAAAAAGAGAAGCUGAUCGUUGAAGGGCAUCUAACCAAAGCGGUAGAAGAAACAAAGCUUUCAAAAGAAAAUCAGACAAGAGCAAAAGAAUCUGAUUUUUCAGAUACUCUGAGUCCAAGCAAGGAAAAAAGCAGUGACGACACUACA
RNAcentral lists this small RNA (351 nucleotides) under Pan troglodytes (chimpanzee). Its description in RNAcentral is "processed transcript". The record is from RNAcentral. Lineage: Eukaryota; Metazoa; Chordata; Mammalia; Primates; Hominidae.